RNAcentral lists this ribosomal RNA (148 nucleotides) under Agaricomycetes sp. Its description in RNAcentral is "partial small subunit ribosomal RNA". It matches the Rfam family "Eukaryotic small subunit ribosomal RNA", at positions 1352 to 1521 of the family's 1831-position model. The record is from RNAcentral. Lineage: Eukaryota; Fungi; Basidiomycota; Agaricomycetes.
UAAAUAGCCAGGCCGUCUUUGGAUGGUCGCCGGCUUCUUAGAGGGACUGCCGGCGCCUAGCCGACGGAAGCCUGAGGCAAUAACAGGUCUGUGAUGCCCUUAGAUGUUCUGGGCCGCACGCGCGCUACACUGAUUGGGGCAGCGAGUU